AGAUGCUACACAGAUACUCUUAAGAUCUUAAAAACAACUGUGCAGAAAUUGCUCAUCUGGUAGGCUGUUCAGGGUCAGCAGGAAAUGGUGCAAUAAUUGGACUACAGAUGUCACAGCAACAAGACUUUGGAGUGAUUUGGGCAAGAAAACUGGGACAUCUGGAGUUCAGAAGUCGAGGAAAAUGGGGAAGAACCAGGAAGAUGAAUACAUGAUCAUCAGCUACACAAAAGAACGGAGCAAAAAGAAGCCGGGAUUUGGGCACAGGCGUCUGGCAAGGAGGCCGGCAGCAGGGCUAAUGAAGCAUUUGCGGCGUGGGACAUUUGCCAACGCAACAAAGAAGAUGUGCUUGGGCUCUGCAGAUGUGCCAGGGCCCCCAGAGCAAAAUAAUGACAUAAUCACCAUCAGUGUCACAGACCAGACUGUACACAAGGUGACAGGGGAGAGGAGGCCUGUAAUGCGCACACAGGGAGGCCUCCCAUGGCCCACGACGGCUGCUGCCCUGAGGGUCCGAAUGCAGGCAGGACUAUCCACCUAACGAUUUCUGCCUAGAUCUUAAAUCCAAAGGUGAGGUUUGCACCCGUCUUUGGUGGGUGUUUUCUGUCCAACCCUAGCGAGGCAACAGAAAUCUGAAAAGCUUAAGUGAGAUUUUAACUGAAUGGAGGGGCAAAAGGAAAAGUGGCAGCAGGAGUUGAGUCAAACUCCCUGUCUUCUGCUAGAAGUGCGCAAACUUCCAAGAACCCGUGCCUAGUCACACAAGCGCAAGGCAGAAAUAUGAUCACGGAUGUCAAUGUUGCACAGUGCAAAGAAAAUGCACAACAUAUUUUGGGGAGCCUGUUUUGGGGUGGGGGGCACAAAUGGGCAGUCAAUGGGCCAUCUCAAAGUGAGUGCAAAAGCAACGUUAAGGCACGAGAAAGUCACCCCUGCUCAUUUUCAACAAGGUCUCUCAGCAGGCCUUGUCACCUGCCAGUGGCUCUUGCUCAGUAAGGUGGGUGUGUUAGUACAGCUGUCUGGCUUUUAAGUGACUUUUGUCAGUUUGAAAGUGAAAGUCUGUUUGAGGAGCUGAAAGAACAAUAGCUCAGAGCCCGGAAGAAGAGCUUGUAGCACAAAGAACUUGGCUACACUAGUGUCCCUUUUCAUUGCUUCUCAUGAAAGAUUCAUAAGAAGAACUUUAAUUUUUUAUGACCCCCUUUUUGGUAUGACUAUAUUAGUUGUGUCAACUUCCAUAUACAGGUUCUCUUUAAAUACCAAAAG
Molecule: long non-coding RNA, 1251 nt
Organism: Symphalangus syndactylus (siamang)
Lineage: Eukaryota; Metazoa; Chordata; Mammalia; Primates; Hylobatidae
Source: RefSeq, a predicted model, not a curated record